Molecule: ribosomal RNA, 524 nt
Filed under: Staphylococcus aureus
Lineage: Bacteria; Bacillati; Bacillota; Bacilli; Caryophanales; Staphylococcaceae
Description: partial 23S ribosomal RNA
Rfam family: Bacterial large subunit ribosomal RNA
Source: RNAcentral
UAAGGGCGCACGGUGGAUGCCUUGGCACUAGAAGCCGAUGAAGGACGUUACUAACGACGAUAUGCUUUGGGGAGCUGUAAGUAAGCUUUGAUCCAGAGAUUUCCGAAUGGGGAAACCCAGCAUGAGUUAUGUCAUGUUAUCGAUAUGUGAAUACAUAGCAUAUCAGAAGGCACACCCGGAGAACUGAAACAUCUUAGUACCCGGAGGAAGAGAAAGAAAAUUCGAUUCCCUUAGUAGCGGCGAGCGAAACGGGAAGAGCCCAAACCAAAAAGCUUGCUUGUUGGGGUUGUAGGACACUCUAUACGGAGUUACAAAGGACGACAUUAGACGAAUCAUCUGGAAAGAUGAAUCAAAGAAGGUAAUAAUCCUGUAGUCGAAAAUGUUGUCUCUCUUGAGUGGAUCCUGAGUACGACGGAGCACGUGAAAUUCCGUCGGAAUCUGGGAGGACCAUCUCCUAAGGCUAAAUACUCUCUAGUGACCGAUAGUGAACCAGUACCGUGAGGGAAAGGUGAAAAGCACCCCGG